Serendipita sp. 411 is the source of this 82-nucleotide non-coding RNA. Lineage: Eukaryota; Fungi; Basidiomycota; Agaricomycetes; Sebacinales; Serendipitaceae. The record is from the annotation of a GenBank genome assembly.
GGGGCUCUAGCUCAGUGGUAGAGCGCUCCCUUAGCAUUUCCUUGCGUGGGAGAGGUAACGUGUUCGAUUCAUGUGUGCUCCA